Non-coding RNA from Cherax quadricarinatus, 416 nucleotides. The record is from RefSeq and is a predicted model, not a curated record. NCBI's taxonomy places the organism in Eukaryota, Metazoa, Arthropoda, Malacostraca, Decapoda, Parastacidae.
UCGACCCCUGCAAUUACAAAUAGUGUGUCAGGAGAUGAUCAGUAACGUCACAGCUGCUCAACACUACAUACUCAGACUUCCAUGUCUGAUGUGACAAGGGACAAUGGGAGUGACGAGAGCUGGUUUUGUCGCAGUGCUGCUGGCUGUGGCAGUGUAUGCUAAUGAGACUGAUGAGCAUGAUCUACAGUCCCUUAGUAAUCCAAAUGCAAGUGACAGAAAAUUAGAUGAACUGAAUGUUGCAGCAGAACAACUGGCAAAAACCCCCUUGCCAAGAUUACAUGAAUAUGAAGACCAUGCUGAAGUGAAAAUGCAGCAUUUUGCCCUGAGUGCAUCACAUUAUGCUGAGAGAGAGAAGCAGAGUAAAGGAGAAAAGGGAGAAAGAGAAAAGAGAUAAAAAAAGGUAGGAGAGAAGUAAA